This 497-nucleotide ribosomal RNA is filed under the name uncultured bacterium. RNAcentral's name for it is "partial 16S ribosomal RNA". It matches the Rfam family "Bacterial small subunit ribosomal RNA", at positions 28 to 507 of the family's 1533-position model. The record is from RNAcentral.
GAUGAACGCUGGCGGCGUGCCUAAUACAUGCAAGUCGAGCGAACAGAUGAGGAGCUUGCUCCUCUGACGUUAGCGGCGGACGGGUGAGUAACACGUGGAUAACCUACCUAUAAGACUGGGAUAACUUCGGGAAACCGGAGCUAAUACCGGAUAAUAUAUUGAACCGCAUGGUUCAAUAGUGAAAGACGGUUUUGCUGUCACUUAUAGAUGGAUCCGCGCCGCAUUAGCUAGUUGGUAAGGUAACGGCUUACCAAGGCAACGAUGCGUAGCCGACCUGAGAGGGUGAUCAGCCACACUGGAACUGAGACAUGGUCCAGGCUCCUGCGGGAGGCAGCAGUAGGGAAUCUUACGCUAUGGGGGAAAGCCUGACGGAGCACCGCCGUGUGAGUGAUGAUGAUCUUCGGAUCGUAAAACUCUGUUCUUCGGGAAAAAAAAAUAUGUAAGUUCCUAUGCACGUCUUGACGGUACCUACUGAGAAAGCUACGGCUAACUACGUG